ACCUCAGCUAUCGAAAAAUAUGGCAAACUGGCUUUCCACUUCGACGAAAAACAUUUGAGAAAGAAAUUCUGUCAAAUGUCAAUGGUCUCAUGAAACCUGGCCUCAAUGCCAUUAUGGGACCUGAAGAUGGAAGCAGGUCCUUGCUGUUAGAUGUCUUAGCGGCAAGGAAAGAUCCACGUGGAUUAUCAGGAGAAAUUCUGAUAAAUGGAGCACCUCAACCUGCCAAUUUCAGAUGUAAUUCUGGUUAUGUGCCACAAGUAAGUGUUAGUGGGUUUGUAAUUUGGAUUUCCUCUGCUUCUGUAUGGACAUGUGCCUCAGCCUAUAGAUUAGUAUGCUUAUGCUUCCAGUUAUUAAGCAGCAUAUUUAUAGAUUCAACUUUAUCUAUA
This is a long non-coding RNA of Nannospalax galili (Upper Galilee mountains blind mole rat), 386 nucleotides long. RefSeq lists it as uncharacterized. The record is from RefSeq and is a predicted model, not a curated record. The transcript has 3 exons. Lineage: Eukaryota; Metazoa; Chordata; Mammalia; Rodentia; Spalacidae.